This 22-nucleotide non-coding RNA is filed under the name Arabidopsis thaliana (thale cress). Lineage: Eukaryota; Viridiplantae; Streptophyta; Magnoliopsida; Brassicales; Brassicaceae. The record is from RNAcentral.
UAGAACAUUUGAAUUGGGUCCA